GUACACUCCUACGGGAGGCAGCAGUGGGGAAUCUUGCGCAAUGGGCGAAAGCCUGACGCAGCCAUGCCGCGUGAAUGAUGAAGGUCUUAGGAUUGUAAAAUUCUUUCACCGGGGACGAUAAUGACGGUACCCGGAGAAGAAGCCCCGGCUAACUUCGUGCCAGCAGCCGCGGUAAUACGAAGGGGGCUAGCGUUGCUCGGAAUUACUGGGCGUAAAGGGAGCGUAGGCGGACAUUUAAGUCAGGGAUGAAAUCCCGGGGCUCAACCUCGGAAUUGCCUUUGAUACUGGGUGUCUUGAGUAUGAGAGAGGUGUGUGGAACUCCGAGUGUAGAGGUGAAAUUCGUAGAUAUUCGGAAGAACACCAGUGGCGAAGGCGACACACUGGCUCAUUACUGACGCUGAGGCUCGAAAGCGUGGGGAGCAAACAGGAUUAGAAACCCGAGUAGUCC
This 448-nucleotide ribosomal RNA is filed under the name uncultured organism. RNAcentral's name for it is "partial 16S ribosomal RNA". It matches the Rfam family "Bacterial small subunit ribosomal RNA", at positions 331 to 796 of the family's 1533-position model. The record is from RNAcentral.